Molecule: ribosomal RNA, 253 nt
Filed under: uncultured bacterium
Lineage: Bacteria
Description: partial 16S ribosomal RNA
Rfam family: Bacterial small subunit ribosomal RNA
Source: RNAcentral
UACGUAGGUGGCAAGCGUUGUCCGGAUUUACUGGGCGUAAAGGGCGUGCAGGCGGUCUGUUAAGUUCAGGGUGAAAGCUCCCGGCUCAACUGGGAGAGGUCCUUGGAUACUGGCAGACUUGAGGGAGGUAGAGGAGAGUGGAAUUCCCGGUGUAGUGGUGAUAUGCGUAGAUAUCGGGAGGAACACCAGUGGCGAAGGCGGCUUGCCAGAACGCGCUCGACGGUGAGGGAUGAAAGCUGGGGGAGCAAACCGG